RNAcentral lists this ribosomal RNA (404 nucleotides) under uncultured bacterium. Its description in RNAcentral is "partial 16S ribosomal RNA". It matches the Rfam family "Bacterial small subunit ribosomal RNA", at positions 28 to 526 of the family's 1533-position model. The record is from RNAcentral.
GACGAACGCUGGCGGCGUGCUUAACACAUGCAAGUCGAGCGGAGCGGCGAACGGGUGAGUAACGCGUGAGUAACUGCCCCCCUCUCUGGGAUAACAGUUGGAAACGGCGGCUAAUACCGGAUAGUGGGGGAUGACUCGCGUCCUAUCAGCUUUUUGGUGGGGUAGUGGCCUACCAAGGCGCCGACGGUUAGCCGGCCUGAGAGGGCGACCGGCCAAAUUGGGCUGAGAUAGGAGCCAAGCGCCAACGGGAGGCAGCAGUGGGGAAUAUGGCACAAUGGGGGAAACCGUGAUGCAGCAACGCGCGUGCGGGAUUACGGCCUGCGUGUUGUAAACCGCUUUCAGCCAUGACGCGGUAGUGGCAGAAGAAGCACCGGCUAACUACGUGCCAGCAGCCGCGGUAAUAC